GGCUUCGUGGUGUAGUGGUCAGCACGCUGGACUCAUAUUCCAGAUGUCCGAGGUCCGAGUCCCGGCGAAGGCU
This 73-nucleotide transfer RNA is filed under the name Stegodyphus mimosarum. It matches the Rfam family "tRNA". Rfam says of the family: Transfer RNA (tRNA) molecules are approximately 80 nucleotides in length. Their secondary structure includes four short double-helical elements and three loops (D, anti-codon, and T loops). Further hydrogen bonds mediate the characteristic L-shaped molecular structure. tRNAs have two regions of fundamental functional importance: the anti-codon, which is responsible for specific mRNA codon recognition, and the 3' end, to which the tRNAs corresponding amino acid is attached (by aminoacyl-tRNA synthetases). tRNAs cope with the degeneracy of the genetic code in two manners: having more than one tRNA (with a specific anti-codon) for a particular amino acid; and 'wobble' base-pairing, i.e. permitting non-standard base-pairing at the 3rd anti-codon position. Lineage: Eukaryota; Metazoa; Arthropoda; Arachnida; Araneae; Eresidae. The record is from Rfam by way of RNAcentral.